RNAcentral lists this unclassified non-coding RNA (260 nucleotides) under Hevea brasiliensis (rubber tree). Lineage: Eukaryota; Viridiplantae; Streptophyta; Magnoliopsida; Malpighiales; Euphorbiaceae. The record is from RNAcentral.
AUGGGAUCGAUCAGUGUUUAUGGUGGUCCUAAUGGAUUCAGCUUUGUUGUUUGGAAGGUGAACAAAUACGUGGAAGAUGGUUUGAUGUAUGUUGCUCGAAACUUUGUUGCGACAUCACCAGCAUCAUACAGUAAAGUUAAAUUUCUGUUCAAUUACCAUGGCAUCAGUCUUUUAGUUGCUGAUGUUUCUGCUAGUUGAUGGUUCUCUAAAUCAUAUAACUCAAAGUCUGGCAUUUGAUAGAGUAGAAUAUGCAACUCAAA